AGAUCAACAGGUGAACGUGAUUGUGAACGUACAUCAUCAAGGUUUCUGAGAACACAAAAAGACAGCAAGAACACAGAAAUUCAUCAUUGUUGACAACUAAAUCAUACCGUUUUCAGGUUAAGAAAGAAAAGAAAAACCGUGUGGAGCAAGUUUGGAGGUAGAAAGUCGUCGAGCACGGAAAAAGGGAGACUUACAAGAGGAAGAAGAACGUGGUCAUAGAAGAGACUUGCCGAAGAAGAGAAAAGGUAAGCCGAAAACUUUGCUCUAUUUUGGUUCGGAGGGUAGAAAUGACCGACCAUGGGUGAUGUAGGUGGUUGAGCAAGAAAGAGAGAGAUUGAGUUUUGUUUGCCAAGGUAGCACAUCGAUGAAGGGAGGAGGGAGGACGCGAAG
RNAcentral lists this long non-coding RNA (390 nucleotides) under Eucalyptus grandis. RNAcentral's name for it is "long non-coding RNA (EGRA_LNC003574)". Lineage: Eukaryota; Viridiplantae; Streptophyta; Magnoliopsida; Myrtales; Myrtaceae. The record is from RNAcentral.